This 226-nucleotide non-coding RNA is filed under the name Faecalibacterium sp. The record is from RNAcentral. Lineage: Bacteria; Bacillati; Bacillota; Clostridia; Eubacteriales; Oscillospiraceae.
AAAUGAACAGCCCACACAGGUGCGCAGCGAUGCGCGGCGUCGGACACGGGCGUGUUCGGCGAACAUGGGAAGCCGGUGCAAGACCGGCGCUGUCCCAGCAACCGUGAAGCAGACAAGGGAGCGUGUGCCGAGGAAAAUCGGUGCAGCCACUGGCGAAAAAAUCGCUGGGAAGGUGCUCCUGCGGAGGAAGCCAAGCCGGGAGACCUGCCUGUGAACGGGAAAACGC